RNAcentral lists this ribosomal RNA (406 nucleotides) under uncultured bacterium. RNAcentral's name for it is "partial 16S ribosomal RNA". It matches the Rfam family "Bacterial small subunit ribosomal RNA", at positions 30 to 526 of the family's 1533-position model. The record is from RNAcentral.
AUUGAACGCUGGCGGCAGGCCUAACACAUGCAAGUCGAACGAGUGGCGGACGGGUGAGUAAUGUCUGGGAAACUGCCUGAUGGAGGGGGAUAACUACUGGAAACGGUAGCUAAUACCGCAUACCAUCAGAUGUGCCCAGAUGGGAUUGGCUAGUUGGUGGGGUAACGGCUCACCAAGACGACGAUCCCUAGCUGGUCUGAGAGGAUGACCGGCCACACUGGAACUGGGACACGGUCCGGAUUCCUACGGGAGGAGGCGUUGGGGAAUAUUGCACAAGGGGCGCAAGCCGGAUGCAGCCAUGCCGCGUGUAUGAAGAAGGCCUUCGGGUUUUAAAGUACUUUCAGCGGGGAGGCGUUACCCGCAGAAGAAGCACCGGCUAACUCCGUGCCAGCAGCCGCGGUAAUUC